Molecule: ribosomal RNA, 396 nt
Filed under: uncultured bacterium
Lineage: Bacteria
Description: partial 16S ribosomal RNA
Rfam family: Bacterial small subunit ribosomal RNA
Source: RNAcentral
AUACGUAGGGGGCGAGCGUUGUCCGGAAUGAUUGGGCGUAAAGGGCGCGUAGGCGGCCCGGUAAGUCUGGAGUGAAAGUCCUGUUUUUAAGAUGGGAAUUGCUUUGGAUACUGUCGGGCUUGAGUGCAGGAGAGGUAAGUGGAAUUCCCAGUGUAGCGGUGAAAUGCGUAGAGAUUGGGAGGAACACCAGUGGCGAAGGCGACUUACUGGAAUGUAACUGACGCUGAGGCGCGAAAGUGUGGGGAGCAAACAGGAUUAGAUACCCUGGUAGUCCACACUGUAAACGAUGAAUGCUAGGUGUAGGGGGUAUCGACCCCUUCUGUGCCGCAGUCAACACAAUAAGAAUUCCGCCUGGGGAGUACGGCCGCAAGGUUGAAACUCAAAUGAAUUGGCGGG